AAAUUAGACCGCCUGGGGAGUACGGCCGCAAGGUUAAAACUCAAAUGAAUUGACGGGGCCCGCACAAGCGGUGGAGCAUGUGGUUUUAAUUCGAUGCAACGCGAAGAACCUUACCUGGUCUUGACAUCCACAGAACUUUUCAGAGAUGNNNNUGUGCCUUCGGGAACUGUGAGACAGGUGCUGCAUGGCUGUCGUCAGCUCGUGUUGUGAAAUGUUGGGUUAAGUCCCGCAACGAGCGCAACCCUUAUCCUUUGUUGCCAGCGGUCCGGCCGGGAACUCAAAGGAGACUGCCAGUGAUAAACUGGAGGAAGGUGGGGAUGACGUCAAGUCAUCAUGGCCCUUACGACCAGGGCUACACACGUGCUACAAUGGCGCAUACAAAGAGAAGCGACCUCGCGAGAGCAAGCGGACCUCAUAAAGUGUGUCGUAGUCCGGAUUGGAGUCUGCAACUCGACUCCAUGAAGUCGGAAUCGCUAGUAAUCGUGGAUCAGAAUGCCACGGUGAAUACGUUCCCGGGCCUUGUACACACCGCCCGUCACACCAUGGGAGUGGGUUGCAAAAGAAGUAGGUAGAGUAUCUUUC
RNAcentral lists this ribosomal RNA (582 nucleotides) under Escherichia coli. RNAcentral's name for it is "bacterial SSU rRNA". It matches the Rfam family "Bacterial small subunit ribosomal RNA", at positions 861 to 1443 of the family's 1533-position model. The record is from RNAcentral. Lineage: Bacteria; Pseudomonadati; Pseudomonadota; Gammaproteobacteria; Enterobacterales; Enterobacteriaceae.